Molecule: ribosomal RNA, 266 nt
Filed under: uncultured bacterium
Lineage: Bacteria
Description: partial 16S ribosomal RNA
Rfam family: Bacterial small subunit ribosomal RNA
Source: RNAcentral
GUCCACGCCCUAAACGAUGUCGACUAGUUGUUGGGGAAGGUAACUUCCUUAGUAACGUAGCUAACGCGUGAAGUCGACCGCCUGGGGAGUACGGCCGCAAGGUUAAAACUCAAAGGAAUUGACGGGGACCCGCACAAGCGGUGGAUGAUGUGGAUUAAUUCGAUGCAACGCGAAAAACCUUACCUACCCUUGACAUGUCUGGAACCCUGGUGAGAGCUGGGGGUGCCCGAAAGGGAGCCAGAACACAGGUGCUGCAUGGCUGUCGU